Molecule: ribosomal RNA, 337 nt
Filed under: uncultured bacterium
Lineage: Bacteria
Description: bacterial SSU rRNA
Rfam family: Bacterial small subunit ribosomal RNA
Source: RNAcentral
GUGAGUAGUUCAGAGUUUGAUCCUGGCUCAGGACGAACGCUGGCGGCGUGCCUAACACAUGCAAGUCGAACGGAGUUAAGACUUCGGUUUUAACUUAGUGGCGAACGGGUGAGUAACGCGUGAGGAACCUGCCUUUCAGUGGGGGACAACAGUUGGAAACGACUGCUAAUACCGCAUAACAUGUACGGAUCGCAUGGUCUGUACAUCAAAGCUUUAUGUGCUGAAAGAUGGCCUCGCGUCUGAUUAGAUAGUUGGUGAGGUAACGGCUCACCAAGUCGACGAUCAGUAGCCGGUCUGAGAGGAUGAACGGCCACAUUGGGACUGAGAUACGGCCCAG